GACGAACGCUGGCGGCGUGCUUAACACAUGCAAGUCGAACGGAAAGGCCCUGCUUUUGUGGGGUGCUCGAGUGGCGAACGGGUGAGUAACACGUGAGUAACCUGCCCUUGACUUUGGGAUAACUUCAGGAAACUGGGGCUAAUACCGCAUAGGAGCUCCUGCUGCAUGGUGGGGGUUGGAAAGUUUCGGCGGUUGGGGAUGGACUCGCGGCUUAUCAGCUUGUUGGUGGGGUAGUGGCUUACCAAGGCUUUGACGGGUAGCCGGCCUGAGAGGGUGACCGGCCACAUUGGGACUGAGAUACGGCCCAGGCUCCUACGGGAGGCAGCAGUGGGGAAUAUUGCACAAUGGGCGGAAGCCUGAUGCAGCAACGCCGCGUGCGGGAUGACGGCCUUCGGGUUGUAAACCGCUUUCGCCUGUGACGAAGCGUGAGUGACGGUAAUGGGUAAAGAAGCACCGGCUAACUACGUG
Molecule: ribosomal RNA, 468 nt
Filed under: uncultured bacterium
Lineage: Bacteria
Description: partial 16S ribosomal RNA
Rfam family: Bacterial small subunit ribosomal RNA
Source: RNAcentral